GUAGGGAAUAUUGGGCAAUGGAUGCAAGUCUGACCCAGCCAUCCCGCGUGCCGGAAGAAGGCCCUCAGGGUUGUAAACGGCUUUUGACGGUGAAGAACCGACAGGAUGCGUCCUGUUUUGACGGUAGCCGUUGAAUAAGCACCGGCUAACUCCGUGCCAGCAGCCGCGGUAAUACGGAGGGUGCGAGCGUUGUCCGGAUUUAUUGGGGUUAAAGGUUGCGUAGGCUGGAAGGUCAGUCAGCGGUGAAAAGCUAUCGCUUAACGAUAGUCUUGCCGCAGAUACUUCCUUUCUUGGAUGAGGAGGAGGCCACUGGAACGGAUGGUGUAGCGGUGAAAUGCAUAGAUAUCAUCCAGAACACCGAUUGCGAAGGCAGGUGGCUGUACCUUAAUCGACGCUGAUGCACGAAAGCAUGGGGAGCAAACAGGAUUAGAAACCCCAGUAGUCC
This 445-nucleotide ribosomal RNA is filed under the name uncultured bacterium. Its description in RNAcentral is "partial 16S ribosomal RNA". It matches the Rfam family "Bacterial small subunit ribosomal RNA", at positions 354 to 796 of the family's 1533-position model. The record is from RNAcentral.